Molecule: ribosomal RNA, 221 nt
Filed under: uncultured bacterium
Lineage: Bacteria
Description: partial 16S ribosomal RNA
Rfam family: Bacterial small subunit ribosomal RNA
Source: RNAcentral
UACAGAGGGGGCAAGCGUUGUUCGGAAUUACUGGGCGUAAAGGGCGCGUAGGCGGCCUGUUAAGUCGAACGUGAAAUCCCCGGGCUCAACCCGGGAACUGCGUCCGAUACUGGCAGGCUUGAAUCCGGGAGAGGGAUGCGGAAUUCCAGGUGUAGCGGUGAAAUGCGUAGAUAUCUGGAGGAACACCGGUGGCGGAAGGCGGCAUCCUGGACCGGCAUUGA